RNA transcript from Macadamia integrifolia, 4301 nucleotides. It is a transcript of the gene named pentatricopeptide repeat-containing protein At3g06920-like, with no coding region annotated. The record is from RefSeq and is a predicted model, not a curated record. The transcript has 8 exons. Lineage: Eukaryota; Viridiplantae; Streptophyta; Magnoliopsida; Proteales; Proteaceae.
UCACUGCGAACCCUUUUUUCGGCAAGGAUUUGUCCUUCCUCCGCCACUGCAAGUCUUCAAUCCCUUAUCCCCUCGAGCGCCAAAUGAAAUCCUUCUUCACCUCAAGCGAGAAGCCUCUGCAAUCGAUGGGUCUCUAACCCUUCUUCCAUUUGACAAUCAACUGGUCUCUACUCUCCGGAACACGGGCCGAGGAGGUGUUCAUCAAGGUAGUAUACUGUGGUAUCUACCACACUGAUCUCCACCAAAUCAGGAGCAACAUCGGCAUGUCCAACUACCCAAUGGUCCCUGGUCACGAAGUUGUUGGUGAGGUGAUGGAGGUUGGUUCCGAUUGACCAAGUUCGGAAUAGGAGAUUGUGUCAGAGUGAGGUUGCAUCCUCGGAUGCUGCGGUCAAUGCUCUCCUUGCAAAUCAAACAUGGAACAAUACUGCAACAAUAUCUGGUCCUACAACGAUGUACACCCAGAUGGCAAAUCCACCCUAGGAGACAAUGCUCUCUCUCGGGAGUAAUCUUCCUUAUUGAUUCAAAAUUCUUUAAUCUCAGCUACAUAUGCAGAGAACUUUCUUCCUUUUGUGAUGGAACUUCUUCUGAUUCAUAUGGGAAGGAUUGUUAUUUUGGGGUUAAAGAAGAAUAUAUAGGAAAAGAUGAGGGUUUAAAAUCUGUAGUAGAAGCAGUUGGCCGCAUUUUAACGAGUAGUCCUUGGGGACCCAUGUUAGAAAAUGCUCUAUCUAUAUUGGAUGAAAAACCUCAGCAAGAAUUUGUCAUUGGAGUCUUGAAGAGGCUAAAGGAUGUCAAUUUAGCCAUUAAUUAUUUCCGAUGGGCAGAAAGAAAAACCUCCAAAGUAAGUUUAGAAGCAUACAAUUUGCUUCUUGGGAUAAUGGCUAGCAGUAAAAACUUUGAUCAUUUGGAGCAAAUUCUGGAGGAAAUGUCCCUGGGUGGAUUUGAGCCUUCAAAUGUCGCUUGUAUUGAGUUAGUUGCUAGCUGUGUCAAGGUCCGGAUGCUGGCAGAAGCUUAUAAUAUCAUUCAAAUGAUGUGGAAGUUAAGAUUCCGUCCUGCAUUUUCAGCUUAUACAACUUUGAUUGGUGCUCUUGCUAAGAUUCAUGAACCUGAUCUUGCUCUUACCCUGUUUCGUCAGAUGCAGGAGUUAGGCUAUGAAGUGAAUGUUCAUUUGUUUACUACUAUUAUCCGUGUAUUUGCCAGGGAAGGCCGACUUGGCAUGGCUCUUUCUUUAUUGGAUGAGAUGAAGAAAGAUUUUUUUGAUGCAGAUAUUGUUCUUUAUAAUGUUUGUAUAGAUUGCUUCGGCAAGUUGGGUAAGAUAGAUAUGGCCUGGAAAUUGUUCCAUGAGAUAAAAGCUCAAGGCCUUGUUCCAGAUGACGUUACGUAUACAAGCAUGAUAGGGGCUUUAUGUAAAGUUAAUAGACUUGCUGAAGCUGUGGAGCUAUUUGAGCAGAUGGAAGUUAAUAGGAAUGUCCCCUGUAAUUAUGCUUAUAGCACCAUGAUCAUGGGCUAUUGUUCUGCUGAAAAUUUUGAGGAGGCUUACAGGUUACUUGAGCGGCAGAAAGAGAAGGGUUGCUUUCCAAGUGUCAUUACAUAUAAUGGCAUCCUUGCUUGCCUUGGGAAGAAGAGGAGAGUGGACGAGGCUUUUAGGAUCUUUGAGAGGAUGAAGAAAGAUGUGCUGCCAAAUCUUAAAACCUAUAAUAUUCUCAUAGACAUGCUUUGCAGAGCAGGGAAUCUUGAGGAUGCUUUAAAGAUUCGCAAUGCCAUGGAAGGGGCUGGUUUAUUUCCUAAUGUAUUCACUUUGAAUAUAAUGGUAGAUAGGCUGUGCAAGGCUAGAAAGCUGGAUGAAGCUUGGAGUAUCUUCAGUAGCAUGGAUCAAUGGGGCUGCACCCCAAACAAAGUUACAUUCUGUUCUUUGAUAGAUGGAUUGGGUAAAAAUGGUAGGGUGGACGAUGCUUACCAAUUGUUUGAAAGAAUGUUGGAUGCAGGUGAGGUCCCAAAUGCUUUUGUUUACACAUCCCUGAUUAGAAACUUCUUCAAGUGUGGCAGGAAGGAAGAUGGCCACAAGAUCUACGAAGACAUGCUCCAUAGAGGCUAUUCUCCCGAUCGGACCCUUCUUAAUACCUACAUGGAUUGUGUUUUAAAAGCUGGUGAAAUUAAAAAAGGAAGGGCCUUGUUUGAGGAAAUUAGGGCCGGGGGUUUCAUUCCUGAUGUAUGGAGCUACUCAAUUCUCAUCCAUGGGCUUGUGAAUUCUGGCCAUGCAUCAGAGACCCAUGAGUUGUUCCAUGCAAUGAAGGAACAAGGUUGUGUUCUUGAUAUUUGUGCUUACAAUGCCAUUAUUCAUGGUUACUGUAAGUCAGGUAAGGUGAACGAAGCCUACCAGCUCCUCCAGGAGAUGAAGGUGGAGGGCCAUGCUCCCACCAUUGUUACAUAUGGUUCAGUAAUUGAUGGGCUUACCAAGAGUGACCGGCUGGAAGAUGCAUACACACUCUUUGAAGAAGCAAAAUCAAAUGGAAUAGAAUUUAACGUAGUUGUCUAUGGCAGUCUUAUAGAUGGGUUUGGAAAGGCAGGUAGAAUUGACGAAGCUUACAGGAUCAUGGAUGAAUUGAUCGAUAAAGGUUUGAAACCUAAUUUAUCCAUAUGGAACUGCUUGCUUGAUGCCUUAGUUAAGGUGGAGGAAAUCAACGAAGCCCUUAUCUACUUCCAGUGGAUGAAAGACGAGAAAUGCUGCCCUAACACUAUCACUUAUAGCAUUCUUAUUAGAGGUCUCUGUCGUAUUCGGAAGUUCAGAAAGGCCUUCAUGUUAUGGCAAGAGAUGCGGAAACAAGGUUUAGAACCUGAUGCAAUCACCUACAGCACCAUGAUCUAUGGGCUUGCAAAGGCAGGUAACAUAGCGGAGGCUAAUCAGUUGUUUGAAAAGUUGAAGUUAGAAGGGAAUGUGCCAGACUCUGCUGCUUGUAAUGCCAUGGUUCAAGGUCUUAGCAAUGCUAAUCGAGCACUUGACGCAUAUAUGAUAUUUGAGGAAACCUUGUUAAAAGGUCACAACCUUUAUGCCAAGACCUGCGUGGUCCUUUUGAAUGCAUUGCAGAAAGCUGAAUGUCUCGAGCAAGCAGAAGUUGUUGGUGCCGUGUUGGAGGAAACAACAAUAUCUCAACCUGCCUCAAGAUCAUUGUAACAGUAGGGGGAGUUGUCCUGAAGUAUAUAUAGUUUUGACUCAAAAUUGAAUAGAGACAGCAUGGAGCUGAGAGGCUGCCAAGGAAUAUGAUACUCAUCUGGACAGUAAGGUCUAAAAAUCAAGUGGUUACUUUCAUUUCUUGGUUGACUUGUGACCUUGAUAAUCUCCAUGCUGGGGCAAUUUAGUUAUAGUACCUCCUCUGGAUUCCAUCUGAUCCAAGCAGUAGCGCAUCAAUUUACCAGCAUGGGCAGACAAGCAUUUGCGUCAGAUCUUAUAGUGGAGGCUACAGAAGGAUCUUCCAUUGAAAACUGCUGGUUGUAUCAAAGAGAUGACAUGUAUUCAUUCAAACAGAAGUUGCAGAAUUACAUCUGAAUUUGGGUUUGGGACACAUCACUUUCCACACUCAUAAGAUUGGAGGUGGUUAGAUAUCUUUCCUGGAUGAUUAAGGGUGUGGAUGACUGAAAAUUGAAGAACUAACCAAACCCGGUUUUUUUUUUUGGGGGGGGGGGGGGUUUGUUUUGGGUCUGGGCUGAGCAACACUAUAAUCCUGACGAUGUUAUGAAAACCCCUAGAGGUUUCUGACAAUUAUCAUGCUGUGGCGUGCUUUCCUUGCCAUGAAGAUAAGUCACUCUUAGUGGAUUACCCAGGAGCAUCAGACAUGAGGCAGAUAUUUAUAUGACCACUGAGGAAUUGUGUGCUAGCUCAUUAAUUUUGUAAUGGCAUUGAUGGAUUUAGCUCUGUCAUCUUCUGUAUCUUAUCCUUUUAUUUGGUCGAGUCUGAUUGUGCUGCAAGACCAUGUGUGGGUGGUCUUUCAGUCGAUUUUGUGCCUUGGAGAUUCUCAACCCUCAUCAGGAAAGCUUGUUUGUGAGGCAAAUAUGGAACAGCUUUUAUAUUGGAGAUCGUUGUAGGUAUCCCUUUAUGGAUUCUUUAUCCGGGAAGGAGAUCUACAUGACUAUGUACAUUGGGCCCUUUCUUUUAUUGAUAUGUUGGGUGGGUUAACUAGUAUUUGAAAUUUUCUUCUGUACUUUCUUGUAUGUGGUUCUGUUGUAUAGUUUAUGCUUGGCAGCUCAUUCUUUUUCUCCAUUCAAUAAAUUGUUGUUUUCAUUAUAAAGAGAGAAUUCAAUCCAGGUCC